ACCUAUUCUAAAAUGUUAAAUAUUAUCAUCAUUAACAACAAUAAAACUAUACAUUUCGCUGCUUUAUCACACUGAAACAACUCCCAUUGGUAGUUUUAUUUUAUUACUUCUAUCGUGAUUGGUUAAUCUGGCUGUCAUUCAGGAAACUGGACAAUGAAUCGGUUCGCGCUUUUCUACAUUUAAAAAUAUGACCGUUAUUGUCGUCUUUCUGUGAGUGAGGCGGCUAACUGUGAGCUGCUGCUCGUUAUAACUGACUGCUCGGUCGGUCCCGAAUUAUUUCAUAUUUGCCUGUACAUUUUUUAUUUAUUUCGAGCGAAUUUGAGUCGUGACAUGUCAAUGGAGAACAAAAACUGUGAACACAAGAAGGGUCAGGUGUUCUGCGAGGUCCUGAAAACAUCCUGUCAAAAUGAGAUGAUCAAGUUAGAUGCUCACCUAAUGUGUUGCUGAGUCAUCGAGGAUCCAGCUUGUUCUUGAAACAUUGAAGUUUGCACUCUGCAAGUGAACGACGCCUUGUGGUGCCAUCCCAAAGAGGUUCAUAAUCACUCUCAAGGACCUUUUCCUGGACUGUGCCCAGCUGGUGGAAUCACCUCCCAAUCUCAAUCCGAACUGAGUGUUUACUCAUUUUCAAGAAACAUCUUAAGACUCAUCUUUUUCACCAGAACUUAACCAACUAAUGCUAGCACUUUUCCUUCUU
This is a long non-coding RNA of Carassius gibelio (silver crucian carp), 694 nucleotides long. RefSeq lists it as uncharacterized. NCBI's taxonomy places the organism in Eukaryota, Metazoa, Chordata, Actinopteri, Cypriniformes, Cyprinidae. The record is from RefSeq and is a predicted model, not a curated record. The transcript has 4 exons.